This 65-nucleotide transfer RNA is filed under the name Fundulus notatus (blackstripe topminnow). RNAcentral describes it as "tRNA-Cys". The record is from RNAcentral. Lineage: Eukaryota; Metazoa; Chordata; Actinopteri; Cyprinodontiformes; Fundulidae.
AGCUCCGAGGUGUUUUUACGCUAGAUUGCAAAUCUGGAGAAGCAGUUUCAUCUCUGCCGGGGCUU